This 1222-nucleotide long non-coding RNA is filed under the name Gossypium barbadense (sea-island cotton). Its description in RNAcentral is "long non-coding RNA (GBAR_LNC011710)". Lineage: Eukaryota; Viridiplantae; Streptophyta; Magnoliopsida; Malvales; Malvaceae. The record is from RNAcentral.
GGCAACUAUCUAUAACCUUCUCAACCCGACCUAAACGUUAGACCCAAAUUUGAAAAAUUACAUUAGCCAUCGAAGUUUUGAAAACUAUCCUAGUAAGCUAUCGGAGUUUUGAAAACUAUCAUUUUAAAUUAUUUGUUUAAAUUAGUAGAAAACUUAGUUAAAUGUCAAUUAAUUUUUCCUAAAAAAAUUAUAAAUUAGCAGUGGAAAAAAGUUAAGUGAUUGUUUUUAAUAAAACCGGGGAUUCAUGCAUAACUCAAUAAUAAACAUAUCUUGUUAUCCUAAAAUUAAAUUAAGUGUCAUGCAAUAUAAAACUCAAAUCCUAAAUCUCACGCCAUAGUUCAAAAUAAAAUAAUAAUACAAACUUUGAAUAAUGAAUAUCAAAUAAUAUAUCUAAAAAUAUUUUAGGAAAACCGAGCUGAGACCCUCUGGAUGUCAUGCCCGUGUCCUAACUUGGCAAGUUAUUUGUAAGGAUGAAAAUUAAAGGGAGAGUGAGCUGUGACGCUCAGUGUGAGUUCCAUCACAAGUAAAUUAGUGCUAAUCAGUAGUCAAAUCAUAAGUAAUAACUGUCGAAACCAUUUUUAAAUUUGAAAAACGGGAGUCGACUUAAAAACAAAAAAUGGAGUCGCCACCGAUCUUUUCCAAGGUGUGAUCGAAUCACCUUGAGUUUGAUCAUUUUAAUAAAACAUUUUGAUUUAUUAAAACGAUGAUUUUGAUCUACGAAAUUCGAGAAUAAAGGUUCGGGAGUCGGUUGAACACGAGGAAGGGUUAGCACCCUCGUAACGACCAAAAUUGGUACCGAAUUGAUUAAUUAAUGUCUUAAUGUCAAAAAUUUGAAAAGAUUUUAGAAUGCGAUCCUUUUAUUUAAAAAGAACACUAGAGUAAAUUAAAUUGGAUGCUAAGACCCUCUUAUUUCGAAAAAUGAAAUGUCAUACCCAGUGAGUUAGGAUACAACAUUUCACAUUUUCGAAACUGAGCUUGUCUUUUGAUUUUUAAAACUCAUGCAGUGAAGUUUUAAAAGGAUAUUCAAUUAUUUCGGUCAAAUGAAAAGUCGGAACCCAGUAAGUUAGGGCACGAUUUCUCAAAAUUCCAAAUAUUGAAUAUUGCCUUUAUUUCUUAGAAAUCAUUAUCUCGAGAUACAAAAUGUCAUAUCCAGUGAGUUAGGACACAACACCUCGAAUUCCUGAGAAUAAGCUUUUAUUUGAAACUUACGUUUUGAUUGAAA